This 520-nucleotide long non-coding RNA is filed under the name Brachypodium distachyon (stiff brome). RNAcentral describes it as "long non-coding RNA (BDIS_LNC004449)". Lineage: Eukaryota; Viridiplantae; Streptophyta; Magnoliopsida; Poales; Poaceae. The record is from RNAcentral.
UCAUUAUUUGCAUUUGAACGUGGAGCCAAAUUCGAUGCACAUGCAUAUUAUCGCUCAACUACCGGACUGUCUUCUUGUUAGGCCCAAAAGGUCCAUCAUUCUUGACGAGCUCUCGGCGCCGAUGGUGGCGAGCCAUCGAUUUUGGAGCAUGGUCGAACAUUGCUGAGUUUGACGUUCAAAUCUAAGCACGUUGUUUUGCGAACGUACGUGUAGUAGAAAGAAAAAAAAAAUGAUAUUCCUUGAAACAAUCAACCAACAAUUCAUAAAUCGAAAAUCAAUCACACAACGAACUCGGUUCGAAGGAUUGUCACGUGAUACUCCUCCGUUCCUAAAUACUUGUCGUGGUUUUAGUGAACGGAGGAAAUACUAUAAUUGGUUCCUGCCAAAAUAUCUAUAGAAGUAAAUUUCACGAAACAACAGUUUUCGAGGCAGUCUUCUCAUGGAGCCCAAGUUUUUGCUAUUUUGACAGGAAAACCACACAUUUUGAGUCUAAAUGUCUCAAGUGGCCCAAAUCAGAUGG